GCGGCGUGCUUAACACAUGCAAGUCGAACGGAAAGGCCCUGCUUUUGUGGGGUGCUCGAGUGGCGAACGGGUGAGUAACACGUGAGUAACCUGCCCUUGACUUUGGGAUAACUUCAGGAAACUGGGGCUAAUACCGGAUAGGAGCUCCUGCUGCAUGGUGGGGGUUGGAAAGUUUCGGCGGUUGGGGAUGGACUCGCGGCUUAUCAGCUUGUUGGUGGGGUAGUGGCUUACCAAGGCUUUGACGGGUAGCCGGCCUGAGAGGGUGACCGGCCACAUUGGGACUGAGAUACGGCCCAGACUCCUACGGGAGGCAGCAGUGGGGAAUAUUGCACAAUGGGCGGAAGCCUGAUGCAGCAACGCCGCGUGCGGGAUGACGGCCUUCGGGUUGUAAACCGCUUUCGCCUGUGACGAAGCGUGAGUGACGGUAAUGGGUAAAGAAGCACCGGCUAACUACGUGCCAGCAGCCGCGGUGAUACGUAGGGUGCGAGCGUUGUCCGGAUUUAUUGGGCGUAAAGGGCUCGUAGGUGGUUGAUCGCGUCGGAAGUGUAAUCUUGGGGCUUAACCCUGAGCGUGCUUUCGAUACGGGUUGACUUGAGGAAGGUAGGGGGAGAAUGGAAUUCCUGGUGGAGCGGUGGAAUGCGCAGAUAUCAGGAGGAACACCAGUGGCGAAGGCGGUUCUCUGGGCCUUUCCUGACCCUGAGGAGCGAAAGCGUGGGGAGCGAACAGGCUUAGAUACCCUGGUAGUCCACGCUGUAAACGGUGGGUACUAGGUGUGGGGUCCAUUCCACGGGUUCCGUGCCGUAGCUAACGCUUUAAGUACCCCGCCUGGGGAGUACGGCCGCAAGGCUAAAACUCAAAGGAAUUGACGGGGCCCCGCACAAGCGGCGGAGCAUGCGGAUUAAUUCGAUGCAACGCGUAGAACCUUACCUGGGUUUGACAUGGAUCGGGAGUGCUCAGAGAUGGGUGUGCCUCUUUUGGGGUCGGUUCACAGGUGGUGCAUGGCUGUCGUCAGCUCGUGUCGUGAGAUGUUGGGUUAAGUCCCGCAACGAGCGCAACCCUUGUUCACUGUUGCCAGCACGUUAUGGUGGGGACUCAGUGGAGACCGCCGGGGUCAACUCGGAGGAAGGUGGGGAUGACGUCAAGUCAUCAUGCCCCUUAUGUCCAGGGCUUCACGCAUGCUACAAUGGCUGGUACAGAGAGUGGCGAGCCUGUGAGGGUGAGCGAAUCUCGGAAAGCCGGUCUCAGUUCGGAUUGGGGUCUGCAACUCGACCUCAUGAAGUCGGAGUCGCUAGUAAUCGCAGAUCAGCAACGCUGCGGUGAAUACGUUCCCGGGGCUUGUACACACCGCCCGUCAAGUCAUGAAAGUUGGUAACACCCGAAGCCGGUGGCCUAACCGUUGUGGGGGAGCCGUCGAAGGUGGGACUGGUGAUUAGGACUAAGA
Molecule: ribosomal RNA, 1441 nt
Filed under: uncultured organism
Description: partial small subunit ribosomal RNA
Rfam family: Bacterial small subunit ribosomal RNA
Source: RNAcentral